Long non-coding RNA from Cornus florida, 1596 nucleotides. RefSeq lists it as uncharacterized. The transcript is spliced from 2 exons. The record is from RefSeq and is a predicted model, not a curated record. Lineage: Eukaryota; Viridiplantae; Streptophyta; Magnoliopsida; Cornales; Cornaceae.
CUAUUACACCAUCUAGGGUAUAUUUUUGACCCCUAUCCUUCACUCUCUCUCUCUCGCCCUAGAUUUUUUGACCCCCAUCCUUCACUCUCUCUCAUCAUCUAGGGCACUCUGAUUCGUGUAAUCAGAGUGCCCUAACCGCCGCUGCCCUAACAGCCUUCUACCGGCGGACAGUUGGACGGAUCGGAGAACUACCGCCAGUCUCUCCGUCACCGACUACGGCGCCGUAGGAGACGGCCUCCAAUACCACACCCGCCACAUCCAUGACGCCAUCAACGCCUGUUAUGCGGCCGCCGAAAUAUCAACUACCACCAUCUUCAAGCUGGCGGCGACUACAAAUGUUGAGAUUUUUCUUUUUAUGAAGAUUUUGAAGGGGAUUUUGAAGGGGAGAGAGAGGAGAGAGAAAGGGUGUUGGAUGAAGAUUUUGAAGGGGAGAGAGGAGAGAGAAAGAGGGAAAAAAAAAUUACAUAUUGGUUGGUCGGUGUUGGUGGUGGUGGUUCAUGCCAACUGUUUUUUCUUAUCAAAUUCAUAUCAGUACAACUAUCUCUCCCUAUCUAUUGCCGGCAUUCACAUCUUUUUCCUAUAAUACAACCAUCUCUCUCUCUUGUAUUUUGCUUCAGUUAUUCUUUUCCUCCUUCCAUAGGUGUUUGAAACAAACACGAGUGUCAACAAUAACAUUAGGCUCCUCACCUCUUUGAAUCAUCACUUCAACUAUUUCUACUGCUUCUGCAAUCUUCCCUUCCUCACAAAGUGCAUCCACCAAUAUAGUGAAUGUUCUUACAUUCAGUUUGAUUUUUCGGUUCACCAUUUCAUUCAAUAGUCUUUUAGCCUCUUUCCACUGGUUUGAAUUGUGUAGGCGGGAGUUGUAAUUCCCUCCCCGAGAGAGGAAAGGCUUGUUGGUCUACCAACUGUUAGUGUUCAAGAUAUGGAUAUGGGUGUUCAAGAUAUGGGAGAAAUGUUAAUGAUUGUAUCUGAAAGAACAGAGGUGAUGAUGGUGGUGGUGCCAUAGAUAAGAAUGUGUUGAUAGAUUCUAGAUUGGAGGGAUGUUUAUACUUGCAACUUAUUAGCCUAUGCAAUUCAAACCAGUGCAAAGAGGCUACAAGAAUAUUGAAUGAAAUGGCACACCGAAAAAUCAAACCUUCACUAUAUUGGUGGAUGCACUUUGAAAUGAAGGGAAGGUUGCAGAAGCAAUAGAAAUAGUUGAAGUGAUUAUUCAAAGAGGCGAGCAGCCUAAUUCACCAAUUGAUGGAUGUUAAGAGCUAUAACGGAUAUAUUGUGAGAAGAGAAGAGUGGCGGAGGCUCCCAAGGCUUUUUUUCAAGAAAUUUCCGAUGGGAUUGGUUCCUAAUACUGUUACUUACUCUGGGUGGUUUCUCCCAUGAGGGAAAACCUCUCCUCUUAUCUUAUCAGAGUCUACUUUGAGUAUACUUUCUUUUCAUGUGUUUUUCCAUAUGUGAUAUGGGUAAGAGCAGAGAAAGAGAAGGUGGUGUCAUGUUGAUAUGUGUAAGAGCAGAAAAAGAAAAGGAGAAGGUGUCAUGUUGUGAUGUCAAGCGUGAACCAUCUUUUGUCCAAUUAAUAAAUGUAGCUGUUGGUUGUUUUUA